GACGAACGCUGGCGGCGUGCUUAACACAUGCAAGUCGAACGGAAAGGCCCUGCUUUUGUGGGGUGCUCGAGUGGCGAACGGGUGAGUAACACGUGAGUAACCUGCCCUUGACUUUGGGAUAACUUCAGGAAACUGGGGCUAAUACCGGAUAGGAGCUCCUGCUGCAUGGUGGGGGUUGGAAAGUUUCGGCGGUUGGGGAUGGACUCGCGGCUUAUCAGCUUGUUGGUGGGGUAGUGGCUUACCAAGGCUUUGACGGGUAGCCGGCCGGAGAGGGUGACCGGCCACAUUGGGACUGAGAUAGGGCCGAGACUCCUACGGGAGGCAGCAGGGGGGAAUAUGGAACAAGGGGGGGAAGCCUGAUGCAGCAACGCCGGGUGCGGAAUGACGGCCUUCGGGUUGUAAACCGCUUUCGCCUGGGACGAAGCGUGAGUGACGGUAAUGUGUAAAGAAGCACCGGCUAACUACGUG
This 468-nucleotide ribosomal RNA is filed under the name uncultured bacterium. RNAcentral's name for it is "partial 16S ribosomal RNA". It matches the Rfam family "Bacterial small subunit ribosomal RNA", at positions 28 to 507 of the family's 1533-position model. The record is from RNAcentral.